Molecule: ribosomal RNA, 255 nt
Filed under: uncultured bacterium
Lineage: Bacteria
Description: partial 16S ribosomal RNA
Rfam family: Bacterial small subunit ribosomal RNA
Source: RNAcentral
UACGUAGGGUGCGAGCGUUAAUCGGAAUUACUGGGCGUAAAGCGUGCGCAGGCGGUCUGUUAAGACCGAUGUGAAAUCCCCGGGGCUUAACCUGGGAACUGCAUUGGUGACUGGCAGGCUUUGAGUGUGGCAGAGGGAGGUAGAAUUCCACGUGUAGCAGUGAAAUGCGUAGAGAUGUGGAGGAAUACCGAUGGCGAAGGCAGCCUCCUGGGCCAACACUGACGCUCAUGCACGAAAGCGUGGGGAGCAAACAGG